Molecule: ribosomal RNA, 324 nt
Filed under: uncultured Nitrospirota bacterium
Lineage: Bacteria; Pseudomonadati; Nitrospirota
Description: bacterial SSU rRNA
Rfam family: Bacterial small subunit ribosomal RNA
Source: RNAcentral
GACGAACGCUGGCGGCGUGCCUAACACAUGCAAGUCAAGGAGAAUUCCACUUUCGGGUGGAUAGUAAACUGGCGAACGGGUGAGUAACACGUAGGUAACCUACCCUUAAGCGGGGGACAACUCAGGGAAACUUGAGCUAAUACCGCAUAAGACCACGGGCUGAGAUGCCAGUGGGAAAAGGAGCAAUCCACUUAAGGAUGGGCCUGCGGCCUAUCAGGUAGUUGGUGAGGUAACGGCCCACCAAGCCAGAGACGGGUAGCCGGGCUGAGAGGUUGAACGGCCACACUGGAACUGAGAUACGGUCCAGACUCCUACGGGAGGCAG